This 495-nucleotide ribosomal RNA is filed under the name uncultured bacterium. Its description in RNAcentral is "partial 16S ribosomal RNA". It matches the Rfam family "Bacterial small subunit ribosomal RNA", at positions 28 to 507 of the family's 1533-position model. The record is from RNAcentral.
GAUGAACGCUGGCGGCGUGCCUAAUACAUGCAAGUAGAACGCUGAAGGAGGAGCUUGCUCUUCUGGAUGAGUUGCGAACGGGUGAGUAACGCGUAGGUAACCUGCCUGGUAGCGGGGGAUAACUAUUGGAAACGAUAGCUAAUACCGCAUGACAACAGUUAUUGCAUGAUAACUGUUUAAAAGGGGCAACUGCUCCACUACCAGAUGGACCUGCGUUGUAUUAGCUAGUUGGUGAGGUAACGGCUCACCAAGGCGACGAUACAUAGCCGACCUGAGAGGGUGAUCGGCCACACUGGGACUGAGACACGGCCCAGACUCCUACGGGAGGCAGCAGUAGGGAAUCUUCGGCAAUGGACGGAAGUCUGACCGAGCAACGCCGCGUGAGUGAAGAAGGUUUUCGGAUCGUAAAGCUCUGUUGCAAGAGAAGAACGAGUGUGAGAGUGGAAAGUUCACACUGUGACGGUAUCUUACCAGAAAGGGACGGCUAACUACGUG